GUCUGUCUGUAAGUCUCUGCUGUCUCUAAGUCCCUACUGUCUGUCUGUAAGUCUUUGACACUCAAUUCAAAACUAAAUCAUUCAUAAGAAGAAACAAUUUGCUGUGUGUGUAUAAUAAUUAUCAAAAUAGAAACACUUAGGUUUUACUUAAACUAGAUCUAUUGAACUGUCAGGUUUUUCUAUCUAAGAUACACCAGAACAUAGCGUUAAAUAGGUCAAUGUCAUUUCUCUGUGUAGAUUUGUUUAAAUAUUUCCCUCUGUCAGUUCAGUCUU
Molecule: non-coding RNA, 273 nt
Organism: Biomphalaria pfeifferi
Lineage: Eukaryota; Metazoa; Mollusca; Gastropoda; Planorbidae
Source: the annotation of a GenBank genome assembly